Molecule: ribosomal RNA, 520 nt
Filed under: uncultured Glomus
Lineage: Eukaryota; Fungi; Glomeromycota; Glomeromycetes; Glomerales; Glomeraceae
Description: SSU rRNA
Rfam family: Eukaryotic small subunit ribosomal RNA
Source: RNAcentral
AGCAGCCGCGGUAAUUCCAGCUCCAAUAGCGUAUAUUAAAGUUGUUGCAGUUAAAAAGCUCGUAGUUGAAUUUCGGGACCAAUAUGUCUGUCGUGCCUUCGGUACGUACGGGUAUAAUUGGUUCCUACCUUCUGAUGAACCUUGAUGCCAUUAAUUUGGCGUCUUGGGGACUCAGGACUGUUACCUUGAAAAAAUUAGAGUGUUUAAAGCAGGCAUGCGCUUGAAUACAUUAGCAUGGAAUAAUGAAAUAGGACGUUCGAUUCUAUUUUGUUGGUUUCUAGGAUCGACGUAAUGAUUAAUAGGGAUAGUUGGGGGCAUUAGUAUUCAAUUGUCAGAGGUGAAAUUCUUGGAUUUAUUGAAGACUAACUACUGCGAAAGCAUUUGCCAAGGAUGUUUUCAUUAAUCAAGAACGAAAGUUAGGGGAUCGAAGACGAUCAGAUACCGUCGUAGUCUUAACCAUAAACUAUGCCGACUAGGGAUCGGAUGAUGUUAAUUUUUAAUGACUCAUUCGGCGCCUUAA